Molecule: non-coding RNA, 45 nt
Organism: Schistosoma rodhaini
Lineage: Eukaryota; Metazoa; Platyhelminthes; Trematoda; Strigeidida; Schistosomatidae
Source: Rfam
AUCCAGCUGACGAGUCCUAAAUAGGACGAAACGCAUGUCCUGGAU